AUGCAUCCAAAGUCUGUUUCUUGUGAUAUAGAUAGAAAUUCUGCCUGUAAUCCGUACUGAUGAGCAUUUUUUACAUCUUCAGCCAACAUAAUUUUGCAUGUUUGCUCACUAGCUGUCCUGUUACAGAGGUGUAAUAAAUCUAUGUAGGAGUGGGAACAAAUUGUACUUUGAUAAAAGUUGGGCCAGAUUUACAUUAUGUAGCCUACUGCCCCUUUCCCUUCUUCCAGGACUGAACCAAUAAAUGAGGACAAUUGUGUGCAAACAAUGUUUUAAAUUGACUUUGUAUGAGUGGAGAGGAAUGAAUCAAAGCCGGUGUCUCUGUAUGCAGGGUCCAAAUGUGUGUGACAGUUUAUUGUUAAUGGAAUUUGAGGCCAAGAGUGGAUGAUGAAAAGGAAACUAUUAUCCUGCUACAGUAAGGAACACCAAGAAAUGAAAGGAUGGAAAUGUUCUGUUGCAAGCCUCACAAGUUUGUCAGGACAAGUGGAGCAGUCAUCCAUAAAAUGGUCAACUUGGUAAAUACCAUGUCUUUUGGACAUCAAGCUUGAAAAUUUGUCAGCAGAAUUAAGUUUUCCGGUGUUCACACUGUUCCUGUUCACUGGCUGGAUCCAUGAAGAAAGGACAAUUAGAGCAUGGGUCAGGAUCCUGCUUUCAUUACUUUUACAGCAAGCUUCCCCAUCUUUCUGGAUCAUAGUGGUACUGUGAGAACAGCAGAGUUCUUGUGGGACAGAGCUCAUGUGUAUGAAAGGAAUAAUUUCACUACAUCCUAUGUAAAGGGAAACAGUUUACAUUAGCAAUUAAAAUUUUUCAUAUGCUUAAUUGUUCAUGACAUAUGAAAUUCAGGCUAUUUAACUAAAUAAAUGUUUAAUAUUAUAAAAAUUAAGGGAAAAAUAAUCAUGAGACAAUGGAAAAUCUAUUUCAAUUGUCACACUGAAUUCUUAUCAGCAGGUUUCUAUAGAAGGGAAAAUACUAACCCAUACUAAAAAAAAAAAAAUGCAGUAAUGAAGGAGAAGAGAGUAAUGUAGCACAUUUAUUUCAUCUAAGUAAUUCUGGGUACCUGGCACAUCAGAGACAGUGGGAGACUCUUACUAUAGUAUAUUAUCUGCAUGGAACAUGUUCCACAUCUGCCUCUUACACUCAACACACCAGAUUCAUCACAAUACAGUACCAGAU
This is a non-coding RNA of Cyanistes caeruleus (blue tit), 1170 nucleotides long. Lineage: Eukaryota; Metazoa; Chordata; Aves; Passeriformes; Paridae. The record is from RefSeq and is a predicted model, not a curated record.